Molecule: ribosomal RNA, 468 nt
Filed under: uncultured bacterium
Lineage: Bacteria
Description: partial 16S ribosomal RNA
Rfam family: Bacterial small subunit ribosomal RNA
Source: RNAcentral
GACGAACGCUAGCGGCGUGCUUAACACAUGCAAGUCGAACGGAAAGGCCCUGCUUUUGUGGGGUGCUCGAGUGGCGAACGGGUGAGUAACACGUGAGUAACCUGCCCUUGACUUUGGGAUAACUUCAGGAAACUGGGGCUAAUACCGGAUAGGAGCUCCUGCUGCAUGGUGGGGGUUGGAAAGUUUCGGCGGUUGGGGAUGGACUCGCGGCUUAUCAGCUUGUUGGUGGGGUAGUGGCUUACCAAGGCUUUGACGGGUAGCCGGCCUGAGAGGGUGACCGGCCACAUUGGGACUGAGAUACGGCCCAGACUCCUACGGGAGGCAGCAGUGGGGAAUAUUGCACAAUGGGCGGAAGCCUGAGGCAGCAACGCCGCGUGCGGGAGGACGGCCUUCGGGUUGGAAACCGCUUUCGCCUGUGACGAAGCGUGAGUGACGGUAAUGGGUAAAGAAGCACCGGCUAACUACGUG